Molecule: long non-coding RNA, 337 nt
Filed under: Homo sapiens (human)
Lineage: Eukaryota; Metazoa; Chordata; Mammalia; Primates; Hominidae
Description: HSALNT0041320
Source: RNAcentral
GUUUCAGAGCAAAGGCACAUAAGUAUCCUGCUACAGCGCUGCUAACUGAUAUGAUCAAAGUCAUAUAGGAAGAUGCCAAAUCAUUCAUCAAGAACCACAACCCCAAGUUACAGGGAAGAUAAAAUGAAACUGAAACAGCCAGUGGUGGUUCCUGCUUGCCCAGUACAUAGAACAGAAUACUUCAGUGAAGUAUUGAUGUAAACUACUUUUGAAAACAAAGUAAAGUGACACAAGGUCUUCACACAGCCUUUCUGUACCUUUAAACUUGGCUAUUUGGAGCCAUAGGAAUGAUGGAACAAUCUGUAAAAAUAGCAUUUUAAAUAAAAUGUAUUCAAGU